GACGAACGCUGGCGGCGUGCCUAAUACAUGCAAGUCGAACGCAGUGGGGACGGGUGAGUAACACGUGGGUAACCUCCCAUCAGAGGGGAUAACACUUGGAAACAGGUGCUAAACCGUUACUGAUGGAUCGACCUGCGGUGCCUUAGCUAGUUGGUGAGGUAACGGCUCACCAAGGCCACGAGGCAUAGCCGACCUGAGAGGUGGAACGGCCACACUGGAACUGGGACACGUCCCAGACGCCUACGGAAGGCAGCAAGAGGGAAUCUCCGGCAAUGGACGAAAGUCUGACCGAGCAACGCCGCGUGAGUGAAGAAGGUUUUCGGAUCGUAAAACUCUGUUGUUAGAGAAGCGGUAUCUAACCAGAAAGCCACGGCUAACUACGUGCCAGCCGCCGCGGUAAUAC
RNAcentral lists this ribosomal RNA (403 nucleotides) under uncultured bacterium. RNAcentral's name for it is "partial 16S ribosomal RNA". It matches the Rfam family "Bacterial small subunit ribosomal RNA", at positions 28 to 526 of the family's 1533-position model. The record is from RNAcentral.